Molecule: ribosomal RNA, 404 nt
Filed under: uncultured bacterium
Lineage: Bacteria
Description: bacterial SSU rRNA
Rfam family: Bacterial small subunit ribosomal RNA
Source: RNAcentral
UGGGGAAUUUUCCGCAAUGGGCGAAAGCCUGACGGAGCAACGCCGCGUGUGGGAAGAAGGCUCUUGGGCUGUCAACCACUUUUCUCAGGGAAGAAGAUCUGACGGUACCUGAGGAAUCAGCCUCGGCUAACUCCGUGCCAGCAGCCGCGGUAAUACGGAGGAGGCAAGCGUUAUCCGGAAUUAUUGGGCGUAAAGCGUCCGCAGGGGGCGCAUCAAGUCUGCUGUUAAAGGCUGGAGCUCAACUCCGGUAGAGCAGUGGAAACUGGUGCGCUAGAGGGCGACAGGGGUAGAGGGAAUUCCCAGUGUAGCGGUGAAAUGCGUAGAGAUUGGGAAGAACACCGGUGGCGAAAGCGCUCUACUGGGUCGCACCUGACCCUCAGGGACGAAAGCUAAGGUAGCGAAAG